RNAcentral lists this small nucleolar RNA (138 nucleotides) under Nannospalax galili (Upper Galilee mountains blind mole rat). RNAcentral's name for it is "Small nucleolar RNA SNORA57 (ENSNGAG00000002259.1)". It matches the Rfam family "Small nucleolar RNA SNORA57". Rfam says of the family: U99 belongs to the H/ACA class of snoRNAs which are thought to guide the sites of modification of uridines to pseudouridines, the target for this family is unknown. The record is from Rfam by way of RNAcentral. Lineage: Eukaryota; Metazoa; Chordata; Mammalia; Rodentia; Spalacidae.
CCUCCUUUUCUUGGCAGGGACCAGGCAUGCAGUCCCACUCCCCAUUCAUUAUGUGCGGAGGCAGAGGGAAAGGGCUGCGGCCCUCCCUACAUCAUGUCUUCCUGUCAGCAGGUUCUAUUCUCAAACACCAGGACACAG